Molecule: long non-coding RNA, 347 nt
Organism: Dinoponera quadriceps
Lineage: Eukaryota; Metazoa; Arthropoda; Insecta; Hymenoptera; Formicidae
Exons: 2
Source: RefSeq, a predicted model, not a curated record
GUUGUCUCUCCUUUUUCUUAUAUCACUUGUGUUUUACAACUUUGAGUAUUCACGGUACAAACAGAUGUUUGAUCUCACGUGUGUUUUCUACUUUCAGAUAUUAUCUAGACGGACAUAGGAAACGGAGGAACUAGAGAAUUUCCUAGAAGAGAGUACACGAUAAUAUCCUAGAUGGUGAAAUGGGCGACCUCGGGUCUAUGCCUUGAAUGUAAUUUGAAUGUUUUAGAAUACUAUAAUAAAUUAAGCCUGUUUCAACCUAACUAUUGCAUCAAUCUUUCAUCUCACCUAAAUCGUACGAAUAAAGAUGUAACAAUAGCAUAAUUUGAAUAAAGUAAAUUUGUCAUUCA